CAGCCGCCGCGGGAAUACGAAGGGUGCAAGCGUUAAUCGGAAUUACUGGGCGUAAAGCGUGCGUAGGCGGUGAGUUAAGUCUGUUGUGAAAUCCCCGGGCUCAACCUGGGAAUGGCAAUGGAUACUGGCAAGCUAGAGUGUGUCAGAGGAUGGUGGAAUUCCCGGUGUAGCGGUGAAAUGCGUAGAGAUCGGGAGGAACAUCAGUGGCGAAGGCGGCCAUCUGGGACAACACUGACGCUGAGGCACGAAAGCGUGGGGAGCAAACAGGAUUAGAUACCCGCGUAGUCCCUGUCUCUUAUAC
Molecule: ribosomal RNA, 301 nt
Filed under: uncultured bacterium
Lineage: Bacteria
Description: partial 16S ribosomal RNA
Rfam family: Bacterial small subunit ribosomal RNA
Source: RNAcentral